Long non-coding RNA from Esox lucius (northern pike), 541 nucleotides. The record is from Ensembl. NCBI's taxonomy places the organism in Eukaryota, Metazoa, Chordata, Actinopteri, Esociformes, Esocidae.
GCUCCAAUCCCAACUACACCCAAACCGACAACAUCAAGACCAACUACACCCAAACCCCCAACCCCCAAACCCACGACCCCAGAACCACCAGUGAAGUGCCCUCCCAAUGCUGAGUACAUAGAGUGUGGCCCAGCCUGCAUUCCCAGCUGUAAGGAACCCUCUACUAACUGCAGUGGUUCCUGUAUCAGCGCUUGUUUCUGUAAGCCAGGCUUUGUGUUCAAAGGGAGACGCUGCGUCCGUACUGAAACUUGUGGUUGUCUGGAAGGAGGCGACUACUAUGAGCCAGGAGAGGUCAUCUUUGGUGAUGGCUGCUCCAAACUGUGUCGUUGUGCUGGUAACUACACCCUUGACUGUGUGGACAACUCCUGCUCUCCCACAGAGGAAUGCCGCAGUGGAGCCUGUUAUCCUAAAGGUGCGGUUUAGUUAUCACGCUGGUAGAAACACUGAAAGGUUAUCAGAAUCAGUAUUACUGGUUAUUAUUAUGAGAAUGCUUGGGAAACCCUUAAGGAUGGUCUCAAUCAGUCAGUAUUAUAAUAGUUAA